GGUCCCUCCCUUCACUGAGCUCAACCGUCCAGGGUCCAGCUCAAUCUGCUGGCUUUGAGCCUCCCUACCCUUCGCUGUUCUGUCACUGGUGAAUGCCCCGUAUAAGUGAGGAUUUUACUGCGAGGAUGACUCCAUCCGGUACCUCUACCGGCCAGACACCAUCACCCAUGGGCUCAUGGCCGGGGUCACCAUCAUGACCACCGUCAUCCUUGUCUCGGCGGGAGAAGCCUACCUGGUGCACACGGACCGGCUCUAUUCCCGUUCCGACUUCAGCAAUUACGUGGUUGCCGUGUACAAGGUGCUGGGGACCUUCCUGUUUGGGGUGGCCGUGAGCCAGUCUGUGACGGACCUGGCCUAGUACACGAUCGGCCGCCUGUGCCCCAACUUCCUGGCCAUCUGUGACUCUUGAGUAGAGCUGGGUCAACUGCUCCGUCUACGUGCAGCUGGAGAGUGUGUGCAGGAAAAACGCUGCUGAGGUCACCGAGGCCAGGUGAGUGUGGACGAGCAGCCUUCACUCUGGGGGGCAGUGGGAGCUGAAGAAGCUGCAGAAGCCAGAUGGUGAGGAGCCAGCAGGCAGGUGGUCAGGCAGGAGCGGGGCCUCAGGGCUCCCGGUGCCCCGCAGACAGCAGGAGGCCGGGGGGAGCGUGCUCUGUCUUCCCCGAGUCUCAGCCCUGCCCUCUUCUGCGCUGUCUUCUUACCAUCUCUACUGAUAGGUCCUUAAACGUUUCAACUC
Molecule: non-coding RNA, 733 nt
Organism: Saimiri boliviensis boliviensis (Bolivian squirrel monkey)
Lineage: Eukaryota; Metazoa; Chordata; Mammalia; Primates; Cebidae
Source: RefSeq, a predicted model, not a curated record